RNAcentral lists this transfer RNA (73 nucleotides) under Klebsormidium nitens. Its description in RNAcentral is "tRNA-iMet (CAT) (tRNA-iMet-CAT-3-1)". It matches the Rfam family "tRNA". From Rfam's summary of the family: Transfer RNA (tRNA) molecules are approximately 80 nucleotides in length. Their secondary structure includes four short double-helical elements and three loops (D, anti-codon, and T loops). The record is from Rfam by way of RNAcentral. Lineage: Eukaryota; Viridiplantae; Streptophyta; Klebsormidiophyceae; Klebsormidiales; Klebsormidiaceae.
AUCAGAGUGGCGCAGCUGGAAGCGUGAUGGGCUCAUAAUCCACAGGUCGAAGGAUCGAAACCUUCCUCUGAUC